AAGGAAUAUUGGUCAAUGGACGCAAGUCUGAACCAGCCAUGCCGCGUGAAGGAUGAAGGUCCUCUGGAUUGUAAACUUCUUUUAUCUGGGACGAAACACUCCUUUUCUAAGGGGCCUGACGGUACCAGAGGAAUAAGCACCGGCUAACUCCGUGCCAGCAGCCGCGGUAAUACGGAGGGUGCAAGCGUUAUCCGGAUCCACUGGGUUUAAAGGGUGCGUAGGUGGGUAUGUAAGUCAGAGGUGAAAUCCCCGAGCUUAACUUGGGAACUGCCUUUGAUACUAUAUGGCUUGAAUGUCGUAGAGGUUAGCGGAAUAUGUCAUGUAGCGGUGAAAUGCUUAGAUAUGACAUAGAACACCAAUUGCGAAGGCAGCUAGCUAUGCGAUUAUUGACGCUGAGGCACGAAAGCGUGGGUAGCAAAC
RNAcentral lists this ribosomal RNA (420 nucleotides) under uncultured bacterium. RNAcentral describes it as "bacterial SSU rRNA". It matches the Rfam family "Bacterial small subunit ribosomal RNA", at positions 356 to 773 of the family's 1533-position model. The record is from RNAcentral.